GACUACUGACGGCAGCAGUGAGGGAUAUUGGUCAAUGGGGGAAACCCUGAACCAGCAACGCCGCGUGAGGGAAGACGGUUUUCGGAUUGUAAACCUCUGUCCUCUGUGAAGAUAAUGACGGUAGCAGAGGAGGAAGCUCAGGCUAACUACGUGCCAGCAGCCGCGGUAAUACGUAGGGAGCAAGCGUUGUCCGGAUUUACUGGGUGUAAGGGGUGCGUAGGCGGCCCUGCAAGUCAGAAGUGAAAUCCAUGGGCUUAACCCGUGAACUGCUUUUGAAACUGUAGGGCUUGAGUGAAGUAGAGGCAGGCGGAAUUCCCGGUGUAGCGGUGAAAUGCGUAGAGAUCGGGAGGAACAACAGUGGCGAAGGCGGCCUGCUGGGCUUUAACUGACGCUGAAGCACGAAAGCGUGGGUAGCAAACAGGAUUAGAUACCCGGGUAGUC
This 441-nucleotide ribosomal RNA is filed under the name uncultured bacterium. Its description in RNAcentral is "partial 16S ribosomal RNA". It matches the Rfam family "Bacterial small subunit ribosomal RNA", at positions 337 to 795 of the family's 1533-position model. The record is from RNAcentral.